RNAcentral lists this ribosomal RNA (843 nucleotides) under Salmonella enterica. RNAcentral describes it as "partial 23S ribosomal RNA". It matches the Rfam family "Bacterial large subunit ribosomal RNA", at positions 711 to 1554 of the family's 2925-position model. The record is from RNAcentral. Lineage: Bacteria; Pseudomonadati; Pseudomonadota; Gammaproteobacteria; Enterobacterales; Enterobacteriaceae.
AGACCCGAAACCCGGUGAUCUAGCCAUGGGCAGGUUGAAGGUUGGGUAACACUAACUGGAGGACCGAACCGACUAAUGUUGAAAAAUUAGCGGAUGACCUGUGGCUGGGGGUGAAAGGCCAAUCAAACCGGGAGAUAGCUGGUUCUCCCCGAAAGCUAUUUAGGUAGCGCCUCGUGAACUCAUCUCCGGGGGUAGAGCACUGUUUCGGCUAGGGGGCCAUCCCGGCUUACCAACCCGAUGCAAACUGCGAAUACCGGAGAAUGUUAUCACGGGAGACACACGGCGGGUGCUAACGUCCGUCGUGAAGAGGGAAACAACCCAGACCGCCAGCUAAGGUCCCAAAGUCAUGGUUAAGUGGGAAACGAUGUGGGAAGGCCCAGACAGCCAGGAUGUUGGCUUAGAAGCAGCCAUCAUUUAAAGAAAGCGUAAUAGCUCACUGGUCGAGUCGGCCUGCGCGGAAGAUGUAACGGGGCUAAACCAUGCACCGAAGCUGCGGCAGCGACGCUUAUGCGUUGUUGGGUAGGGGAGCGUUCUGUAAGCCGUUGAAGGUGUGUCGUGAGGCAUGCUGGAGGUAUCAGAAGUGCGAAUGCUGACAUAAGUAACGAUAAAGCGGGUGAAAAGCCCGCUCGCCGGAAGACCAAGGGUUCCUGUCCAACGUUAAUCGGGGCAGGGUGAGUCGACCCCUAAGGCGAGGCCGAAAGGCGUAGUCGAUGGGAAACGGGUUAAUAUUCCCGUACUUGGUGUUACUGCGAAGGGGGGACGGAGAAGGCUAUGUUGGCCGGGCGACGGUUGUCCCGGUUUAAGCGUGUAGGCUGACUUUCCAGGCAAAUCCGGAGAGUCAAG